This 253-nucleotide ribosomal RNA is filed under the name uncultured bacterium. Its description in RNAcentral is "partial 16S ribosomal RNA". It matches the Rfam family "Bacterial small subunit ribosomal RNA", at positions 524 to 776 of the family's 1533-position model. The record is from RNAcentral.
GACGGAAGGUGCAAGCGUUGCUCGGAAUCACUGGGCGUAAUGGGUGCGUAGGCGGCUUGGUAGGUCUGGUGUGAAAGCCCCGGGCUCAGCCCGGGAAGGGCACUAGAAACUGCCAAGCUAGAGUGCCGGAGGGGAGAGUGGAAUUCCUGGUGUAGCGGUGAAAUGCGUAGAGAUCAGGAGGAAUACCGGUGGCGAAAGCGACUCUCUGGACGGCAACUGACGCUGAGGCACGAAAGCGUGGGGAGCAAACAGG